This 481-nucleotide ribosomal RNA is filed under the name uncultured bacterium. Its description in RNAcentral is "bacterial SSU rRNA". It matches the Rfam family "Bacterial small subunit ribosomal RNA", at positions 28 to 526 of the family's 1533-position model. The record is from RNAcentral.
AACGAACGUUGGCGGCGUGGAUUAGGCAUGCAAGUCGCGCGAAUCCCCGCAAGGGGGGAAGCGGCGUAAGGGGCAGUAAGGCGUGGGCAACCCACCCCCCGGUCCGGGAUAGCCCGUCGAGAGACGGGGUAAUACCGGGCGACGCCACCUGGAGGCAUCUCCGGGUGGCCAGAGGUCCGCCGCCGGGGGCGGGGCCCACGUGGUAUUAGCUAGUUGGUGGGGUGACGGCCCACCAAGGCGGAGAUGCCUAGCGGGUGUGAGAGCACGACCCGCGCCACUGGCACUGAGACACUGGCCAGACACCUACGGGUGGCUGCAGUCGAGGAUCUUCGGCAAUGGGGGCAACCCUGACCGAGCGACGCCGCGUGGGCGACGAAGGCCUUCGGGUUGUAAAGCCCUGUCGAGGGGGAGGAAACCCACAAGGUUGACCCAUCCCUGGAGGAAGCACGGGCUAAGUUCGUGCCAGCAGCCGCCGUAAAAC